UCGGGAAUAUUGCGCAAUGGAGGAAACUCUGACGCAGUGACGCCGCGUAUGGGAAGAAGGUUUUCGGAUUGUAAACCAUUUUAGACAAGGAAGAAAAAAGACAGUACUUGUAGUAAUAAGACUACCGGCUCAAGCUACGUGCCAGCAGCCGCGGGUAAUACGUAGGGAGCAAGCGUUAUCCGGAUUUAUUGGGUGUAAAGGGUGCGUAGACGGGAAGGUAAGUUAGUUGUGAAAUCCCUCGGCUCAACUGAGGAACUGCGACUAAACUGCUUUUCUUGAGUACUGGAGAGGAAAGUGGAAUUCCUAGUGUAGCGGUGAAAUGCGUAGAUAUUAGGAGGAACACCAGUGGCGAAGGCGACUUUCUGGACAGUAACUGACGUUGAGGCACGAAAGUGUGGGGAGCAAACAGGAUUAGAUACCC
This 421-nucleotide ribosomal RNA is filed under the name uncultured bacterium. RNAcentral's name for it is "bacterial SSU rRNA". It matches the Rfam family "Bacterial small subunit ribosomal RNA", at positions 355 to 787 of the family's 1533-position model. The record is from RNAcentral.